RNAcentral lists this ribosomal RNA (460 nucleotides) under uncultured bacterium. Its description in RNAcentral is "partial 16S ribosomal RNA". It matches the Rfam family "Bacterial small subunit ribosomal RNA", at positions 338 to 795 of the family's 1533-position model. The record is from RNAcentral.
CCUACGGGAGGCAGCAGUGAGGAAUAUUGGUCAAUGGGCGAGAGCCUGAACCAGCCAAGUAGCGUGAAGGAUGAAGGAACUAUGGGUUGUAAACUUCUUUUAUAUGGGAAUAAAGUGAGGAACGUGUGCCUUUUUGUAUGUACCAUAUGAAUAAGCAUCGGCUAACUCCGUGCCAGCAGCCGCGGUAAUACGGAGGAUGCGAGCGUUAUCCGGAUUUAUUGGGGUUAAAGGGUGCGUAGGUGGUUAGUUAAGUCAGUUGUGAAAGUUUGUGGCUCAACCGUAAAAUUGCCGUUGAAACUGGUAGCCUUGAGUAUAUUUGAGGUAGGCGGAAUGCGUGGUGUAGCGGUGAAAUGCAUAGAUAUCACGCAGAACUCCGAUUGCGAAGGCAGCUUACUAAACUAUCACUGACACUGAAGCUCGAAAGCGUGGGGAUCAAACAGGAUUAGAUACCCGAGUAGUC